This is a small nuclear RNA of 67 nucleotides. Its record names the gene U2. It matches the Rfam family "U2 spliceosomal RNA". Rfam says of the family: U2 is a small nuclear RNA (snRNA) component of the spliceosome (involved in pre-mRNA splicing). Complementary binding between U2 snRNA (in an area lying towards the 5' end but 3' to hairpin I) and the branchpoint sequence (BPS) of the intron results the bulging out of an unpaired adenosine, on the BPS, which initiates a nucleophilic attack at the intronic 5' splice site, thus starting the first of two transesterification reactions that mediate splicing. The record is from Ensembl.
GACACUUCUUGGCCUUUUGGCUAAGAUCAAGUGUAGUAUUAUAAUAAAAUAUAUUUUAUUACCUUUA